This 604-nucleotide ribosomal RNA is filed under the name Aspergillus sp. BAB-3909. RNAcentral's name for it is "eukaryotic LSU rRNA". The stretch from base 206 to 359 matches the Rfam family "5.8S ribosomal RNA". Lineage: Eukaryota; Fungi; Ascomycota; Eurotiomycetes; Eurotiales; Aspergillaceae. The record is from RNAcentral.
ACCUGCGGAAGGAUCAUUACCGAGUGCGGGUCCUUUGGGCCCAACCUCCCAUCCGUGUCUAUUAUACCCUGUUGCUUCGGCGGGCCCGCCGCUUGUCGGCCGCCGGGGGGGCGCCUUUGCCCCCCGGGCCCGUGCCCGCCGGAGACCCCAACACGAACACUGUCUGAAAGCGUGCAGUCUGAGUUGAUUGAAUGCAAUCAGUUAAAACUUUCAACAAUGGAUCUCUUGGUUCCGGCAUCGAUGAAGAACGCAGCGAAAUGCGAUAACUAAUGUGAAUUGCAGAAUUCAGUGAAUCAUCGAGUCUUUGAACGCACAUUGCGCCCCCUGGUAUUCCGGGGGGCAUGCCUGUCCGAGCGUCAUUGCUGCCCUCAAGCCCGGCUUGUGUGUUGGGUCGCCGUCCCCCUCUCCGGGGGGACGGGCCCGAAAGGCAGCGGCGGCACCGCGUCCGAUCCUCGAGCGUAUGGGGCUUUGUCACAUGCUCUGUAGGAUUGGCCGGCGCCUGCCGACGUUUUCCAACCAUUUUUUCCAGGUUGACCUCGGAUCAGGUAGGGAUACCCGCUGAACUUAAGCAUAUCAAUAAGCGGAGGAAAAGAAACCAACCGGG